AGUUCAAAGAUCUCUCACUCAGUUUGCAAAAGAAUGCUGGAAAGAAAAGUUGUAGAAAUUCACAGGCAGGAAAGCUCUAGCUCUCAAGGGGAUUGACUACAACAUCAUACCCAUUGACCUUUUAAAGGACAGGGACC
RNAcentral lists this long non-coding RNA (137 nucleotides) under Monodelphis domestica (gray short-tailed opossum). Its description in RNAcentral is "lncRNA (ENSMODG00000048534.1)". Lineage: Eukaryota; Metazoa; Chordata; Mammalia; Didelphimorphia; Didelphidae. The record is from RNAcentral.